AAAAAUCAACAACAUUGCAAGGAUCGUGUGAUUCUCCAUUGCUGCUGCCGCUAGAAAUUCGCGUACCAUUGUCUGCUGCUACUUGUUGAAUAUGAUUGUGUGCCAGGGAAGAAAAAUUGAACUGCAAAAGGGGGAAAAGAGAAAACAAAGGCAAAGAAGGCCGCCGCUCGCUGGAGGACGACGACGCACCGAAGCUUUCAACGCUGGCUCGCUGCUGGACGCACUAGCCACCGGCAUUGACAUGAGAUCGGCAGCCUGAUAUGCUCGCUGUACCUAUGCGGCCUCGCCAGCAGUGGCUGCACAGGAUGCUCGGCGACCUCGUCGUUGUCGCCAUUGCGGCAUCGCCUGACGAGCCACACUGCUUACACGCUGCAAUGGCUCUUCACUCGUGACGCAUACUACAAGCUCUGACACUGACGCCAUAGCCUUCUCCUUUUCAUGGGCUCGAUGUGGAUGCAUG
RNAcentral lists this long non-coding RNA (460 nucleotides) under Setaria italica (foxtail millet). RNAcentral's name for it is "long non-coding RNA (SITA_LNC001566)". The record is from RNAcentral. Lineage: Eukaryota; Viridiplantae; Streptophyta; Magnoliopsida; Poales; Poaceae.